AUGCAGCAGUCGAGAAUUUUUCUCAAUGGGGGAAACCCUGAAGGAGCGACGCCGCGUGGAGGAUGAAGGCUUUCGGGUUGUAAACUCCUGUCAUUUGAGAACAAGUGGCCGAACGUAACUACUUCGGCCUUGAUAGUAUCAGAAGAGGAAGGGACGGCUAACUCUGUGCCAGCAGCCGCGGUAAUACAGAGGUCUCAAGCGUUGUUCGGAUUCAUUGGGCGUAAAGGGUGCGUAGGUGGCGCCGUAAGUCGGGUGUGAAAUUUCGGAGCUUAACUCCGAAACUGCAUUCGAUACUGCGGUGCUUGAGGGCAGGAGAGGAGACUGGAAUUUACGGUAUAGCAGUGAAAUGCGUAGAGAUCGUAAGGAAGACCAGUGGCGAAGGCGGGUCUCUGGACAGUUCCUGACACUGAGGCACGAAGGCCAGGGGAGCAAACGGGAUUAGAUACCCCGGUAGU
Molecule: ribosomal RNA, 455 nt
Filed under: uncultured organism
Description: bacterial SSU rRNA
Rfam family: Bacterial small subunit ribosomal RNA
Source: RNAcentral